RNAcentral lists this ribosomal RNA (305 nucleotides) under uncultured bacterium. RNAcentral's name for it is "partial 16S ribosomal RNA". It matches the Rfam family "Bacterial small subunit ribosomal RNA", at positions 505 to 809 of the family's 1533-position model. The record is from RNAcentral.
ACAGCAGCAGCCGCGGUAAUACGUAGGUGGCAAGCGUUGUCCGGAAUUAUUGGGCGUAAAGGGCUCGCAGGCGGUUUCUUAAGUCUGAUGUGAAAGCCCCCGGCUCAACCGGGGAGGGUCAUUGGAAACUGGGAAACUUGAGUGCAGAAGAGGAGAGUGGAAUUCCACGUGUAGCGGUGAAAUGCGUAGAGAUGUGGAGGAACACCAGUGGCGAAGGCGACUCUCUGGUCUGUAACUGACGCUGAGGAGCGAAAGCGUGGGGAGCGAACAGGAUUAGAUACCCCAGUAGUCCCUGUCUCUUAUAA